UGGGGAAUCUUGCGCAAUGGGCGGAAGCCUGACGCAGCAACGCCGCGUGAGGGAUGACGGCCUUCGGGUUGUAAACCUCUUUCGCGAUCGACGAAGGUCAUGCUUGUGGCAUGGCUGACGGUAGGUCGAGAAGAAGCACCGGCCAACUACGUGCCAGCAGCCGCGGUAAUACGUAGGGUGCGAGCGUUGUCCGGAAUUAUUGGGCGUAAAGAGCUCGUAGGCGGUGUGUCGCGUCGGCCGUGAAAACCUGGGGCUUAACUCUGGGCGUGCGGUCGAUACGGGCAUCACUAGAGUUCGGCAGGGGAGACUGGAAUUCCUGGUGUAGCGGUGAAAUGCGCAGAUAUCAGGAGGAACGCCGGUGGCGAAGGCGGGUCUCUGGGCCGAUACUGACGCUGAGGAGCGAAAGCAUGGGUAGCGAACAGG
RNAcentral lists this ribosomal RNA (423 nucleotides) under bacterium. RNAcentral describes it as "partial 16S ribosomal RNA". It matches the Rfam family "Bacterial small subunit ribosomal RNA", at positions 355 to 776 of the family's 1533-position model. The record is from RNAcentral.